RNAcentral lists this microRNA precursor (80 nucleotides) under Nomascus leucogenys (northern white-cheeked gibbon). RNAcentral describes it as "miRNA (ENSNLEG00000035033.1)". Lineage: Eukaryota; Metazoa; Chordata; Mammalia; Primates; Hylobatidae. The record is from RNAcentral.
UAGGCUGGUGCAAAAGUAAUUGUGGUUUUUGCCAUUAAAAGUUAUUGUAAAAACCACAAUUACAUUUGCACCAAGCUAAU